Pangasianodon gigas (Mekong giant catfish) is the source of this 73-nucleotide non-coding RNA. Lineage: Eukaryota; Metazoa; Chordata; Actinopteri; Siluriformes; Pangasiidae. The record is from the annotation of a GenBank genome assembly.
GGCACGGUGGCUUAGUGGUUAGCAUGUUUGCCUCGCACGUCAGGGGCUGGGGUCUCAAAUCCCUCCUCCGCCC